Molecule: ribosomal RNA, 495 nt
Filed under: uncultured Glomeromycotina
Lineage: Eukaryota; Fungi; Glomeromycota
Description: partial small subunit ribosomal RNA
Rfam family: Eukaryotic small subunit ribosomal RNA
Source: RNAcentral
CCAAUAGCGUAUAUUGAAGUUGUUGCAGUUAAAAAGCUCGUAGUUGAAUUUUAGGCCUGACCGGACGGUCCGUCUCUGGCGAGUACUGUUCUGCUGUCGGGUCUAUCCUUCUGGUGAGCCGGUAUGCCCUUUAUUGGGUGUGUCGGGGAACCAGGACCAUUACCUUGAAAAAAUUAGAGGGUUUAAAGCGGGCUUUUGCUUGAAUAGAUUAGUAUGGAAUAAUAGAAUAGGACGUUGGUUCUAUUUUGUUGGUCUAGGACCACCGUAAUGAUUAAUAGGGAUAGUUGGGGGCAUUAGUAUUCAAUUGUCAGAGGUGAAAUUCUUGGAUUUAUUGAAGACUAACUACUGCGAAAGCAUUUGCCAAGGACGUUUUCAUUAAUCAAGAACGAAAGUUAGGGGAUCGAAGACGAUCAGAUACCGUCGUAGUCUUAACCAUAAACUAUGCCGACUAGGAAUCGGGCGACGUUAUUUUCAUGACUCGCUCGGCGCCUUAUG